ACCUUGCUGCCAGAAUCGUGCCAAGGCAGUGGAGGGACACUGGCAAGGGGACGGGCUGCGUUGUGGCAGAGUGGACUGUGAAAGCUGUGUGCCCCUCCAUGUGGCUCUCUGCCCACGGAGCUCUCGCGGUUCGGCGGAUGGGGAGGGACACACUGUGCUCCAGUUACCCUCGGGAGCAAGCUGGGCCUCCAGCCGAGCCUUCCCAGCCCGCAGACUAAGUGAGGAAAUGAGAGCCAGGAUGUUCAACGUGCCUCUAAGACUCAUCGGAGCAAUUAGAAGUUUCCAGAAUUGCCUGGAGAAGAGAAGGCCAGCAGGUGAAGUCAAGGCUGCAGCUGGGUCGAGGAGGGAGCGCUGCUGGUGAAAGAGAAAAAUCUAGGUAGUCCUGCAAUGCUGUCCAUCCUCCUGCAUGCCCAGAAGUGGAGUGGACUGGCAGACAUCCAUUAGCUUUAGGCUGCCUUCAGCGGAAGACGUGGGGAUCGAGCA
Long non-coding RNA from Globicephala melas (long-finned pilot whale), 483 nucleotides. RefSeq lists it as uncharacterized. The record is from RefSeq and is a predicted model, not a curated record. Lineage: Eukaryota; Metazoa; Chordata; Mammalia; Artiodactyla; Delphinidae.